This 1286-nucleotide long non-coding RNA is filed under the name Vulpes vulpes (red fox). RNAcentral describes it as "lncRNA (ENSVVUG00000028612.1)". Lineage: Eukaryota; Metazoa; Chordata; Mammalia; Carnivora; Canidae. The record is from RNAcentral.
CGCCACUGGGGGACGCAAAGUGUGUCACACCAUGGCAGAGGGGAGCCCCGUCCAACACGGACCCUUACAGAAAGUGACUUGCCCCCAGAGGCAGUGGUAUAGACACCACCUGCCUCCCAGGUGGGGUGACCAGCUCAUCCUGCCUUGUCUGGGACUCUCCUGGUGUUAGCCCUGAAAGCCCCACAUCCCAGGAAAGCCCAGGCCUUGGCAGACCAGGAUGGUCGUCACCCACUUCUAGUCCCGGGUGACAGCUCAGCUCUCGAAGCAAACUGCCACCAACUGCCCCUACAGGGGGCAUCCAGGUGGGUGACCCAGACCCUUCCCCCCCAUCCAGCAGCACGUGGGGACCCGACCCAGAGCCGAGACUGCCCUCCUGACAGCCCUGGUCACGGUGACCCCUCCCAUCCCAUCCUCACAGAAGGGGGACCGAUGCUUCUCUCAGAAUCCAGUCAAAGCUGGCUUGCUGGGCAGAAAGGGACAGUCCCCCAGUCUCUGCCUAUUGCUGGGAUGUUGGCUAUCAUACCUCAGGUGGACAGGUCCCCCUUCUAGGCUCUGGGCUCCCUUACCCUCGUCAAAUCCUCUUCUUGCCAGAGAUCCCUGAGUUCACAGCAUGCCCUCCAGAAGGACCCAAGGAAUGGCCUCAUGGCCCCAACUGACUUCUGCAGCCAAGCGAGGAAAGCCAAAGAGACCAAACCAGGACCCUGGCAACUUCUGUGGCAGGAAGCCCACAGACCCCAGCAUGAAUAGGCUCUGGGAUGGCGCCAACCAGAAACAUCUUGGAAGCAGCUUAGUGGAUGUUGUGGCGAAACCUGGAAGGAACACCAUCGUCUCUGGCCGGGCCCUCCCUGAGAACGCGGCCACAACAACAGAGCCGUUGCCCUCACCUCGCGCAGUGUCAGAGCGGUGCUCUCACCCCAGCGUAUGAAGAUGCAGAUUCCAGUCUCAUCAAUGCAGAACCUGCUCCGUCCACCACUCCCGUGGACACAGUUGGCCAAUCACCCAUGAGAUCAAGUUCCCCCCCAAGCUCUGGGGGCUGUCUUCCAUCUCUUGAUGAGUGAGUGAGGACACUGCUGGGCAGAGGAAUGCAGGGCAGGCUCAGUGGCUGCCCCUCUGUCCAGGGUCCCUGCAUCCUUCAACACGAUCGUGGAUCAGGAAUUCCUUUCUAUGAUUUUAUGGAAAGACCUGAUGUCUCCUCGUUCCUGUGGGUGCCUGAGGGACUGUCAGUUAAAACCCUCACCCAUAGCUCAUCCAGAGACGGCUAUGUUUGCCUGUCCACUGGCUACCAG